RNAcentral lists this ribosomal RNA (542 nucleotides) under uncultured Weissella sp. RNAcentral describes it as "bacterial SSU rRNA". It matches the Rfam family "Bacterial small subunit ribosomal RNA", at positions 821 to 1367 of the family's 1533-position model. The record is from RNAcentral. Lineage: Bacteria; Bacillati; Bacillota; Bacilli; Lactobacillales; Lactobacillaceae.
CGAGGGUUGCGGUCAGUUCGUGUCGCAGCUAACGCAUUAAGCACUCCGCCUGGGGAGUACGACCGCGCGGUUGAAACUCUCAGGAAUUGACGGGGACCCGCACAAGCGGUGGAGCAUGUGGUUUAAUUUUAAUCUACGCGAAGAACCUUACCAGGUCUUGACAUCCUUUGAGACCACCUGAGAUAAGGCGUUCCCUUCGGGGACAAGGUGACAGGUGGUGCAUGGUUGUCGUCCGCUCGUGUCGCGAGAUGUUGGGUUAAAUCCCGCAACGAGCGCACCCCUUAUUAUUAUUUGCCAUCAUUCAGUUGGGCACUCUAUUGAGACUGCCGGUGAUAAACCGGAGGAAGGUGGGGACGACGUCAAAUCAUCAUGCCCCUUAUGACCUGGGCUACACACGUGCUACUAUGGUGGGUACAACGAGUCGCUAACCCGCGAGGGUACGCUAAUCUCUUAAAGCCUGUCUCAUUUCGGAUUGUAGGCUGCAACUCGCCUACAUGAAGUCGGAAUCGCUAGUAAUCGCGGAUCAGAACGCCGCGGUGAAU